GUGAUCUUCCUCUUAUUUUUCUCUCAGCUGUCAGGAAAACAGCAUUUGUUUUAUUAUUAUUAUAAGACAACCUAUUGUCGCCCUUUAAAUCUGUGGUGAAUAACUAGGCCUCAGUCACAGAAUCCAAAAGCCAUGCUUCAUAGACUUGAGUAUAAUGGGUAAGGGGCUAGUCCUACUUUCUUGUUUCUUUUGAUUUUUCACCCUUAAUUUAAUGCUAGGCAGCUGGGUAAACAUUCAUCUAAAGUAUAAUGAGCCAAAGACUUUGUCAUCUGGUCAACUAGCACAGUAGAGCACAGAGUGCUCUAAAAGAUGCUGAACAUCUUCCUCAGGUUUGAUCCAAUUCAGCCAUUUGGUAUCUGACUUGAAAAAUCGCAAUAGUUACAUCUGGACAUGUGCUCUGUCAACACCUACACUGGGGUCCUGAGUCCCAGCUUGUGUUCCGGGCAUGCAAGACUGCACUAACAAAACCAGGGUGCUGUUGAUUUGCAAGACUCUGGUUUGUUCCGUUCAAGAGUGCGCACCUAGCAGCAGAUGCAGCAGAUGCAGCAGAUGGCCUGAAUCCCUGCGCCUUGCAGAGAACUAAACUGCUAGUGUGGAAACCAGCUGCCUUAGCAGGAUGAGAUAAAUAAAAUGAAAAGUCCCCUCCAAUCCA
Long non-coding RNA from Mastomys coucha (southern multimammate mouse), 652 nucleotides. RefSeq lists it as uncharacterized. Lineage: Eukaryota; Metazoa; Chordata; Mammalia; Rodentia; Muridae. The record is from RefSeq and is a predicted model, not a curated record. The transcript has 2 exons.